CCAUGAUGGAGGUGAGGUAACACACACACACACACACCAUGAUGGAGGUGAGGUAACACACACACACACACACACACCAUGAUGGAGGUGAGGUAACACACACACACACACACACCAUGAUGGAGGUGAGGUAACACACACACACACACACCAUGAUGGAGGUGAGGUAACACACACACACACACCAUGAUGGAGGUGAGGUAACACACACACACACACACCAUGAUGGAGGUGAGGUAACACACACACACACACACACCAUGAUGGAGGUGAGGUAACACACACACACACACACACCAUGAUGGAGGUGAGGUAACACACACACACACCAUGAUGGAGGUGAGGUAACACACACACACACACACACCAUGAUGGAGGUGAGGUAACACACACACACACACACACCAUGAUGGAGGUGAGGUAACACACACACACACCAUGAUGGAGGUGAGGUAACACACACACACACACACCAUGAUGGAGGUGAGGUAACACACACACACACACCAUGAUGGAGGUGAGGUAACACACACACACACACACCAUGAUGGAGGUGAGGUAACAC
Molecule: long non-coding RNA, 565 nt
Organism: Pseudoliparis swirei
Lineage: Eukaryota; Metazoa; Chordata; Actinopteri; Perciformes; Liparidae
Exons: 3
Source: RefSeq, a predicted model, not a curated record